RNAcentral lists this ribosomal RNA (497 nucleotides) under uncultured bacterium. RNAcentral's name for it is "partial 16S ribosomal RNA". It matches the Rfam family "Bacterial small subunit ribosomal RNA", at positions 28 to 507 of the family's 1533-position model. The record is from RNAcentral.
GAUGAACGCUGGCGGCGUGCCUAAUACAUGCAAGUCGAGCGAACGGACGAGAAGCUUGCUUCUCUGAUGUUAGCGGCGGACGUGUGAGUAACACGUGGAUAACCUACCUAUAAUACUUGGAUAACUUCGGGAAACCUGAUCUAAUACCGGAUAAUAUUUUGAACCUCUUGGUUCAAAAGUGAAAUACGGUCUUGCUGUCUCUUAUAGAUGGUUCCUCGCUGCAUUAGCUAGUUGGUAAGGUAACGGCUUACCAAGGCAACGAUGCAUAGCCGACCUGAGAGGGUGAUAGGCGAAACUGGAACUGAGACACGGACAAGACUCCUACGGGAGGAAGCAGUAGGGAAUAUUCCGCAAUGGGCGAAAGCAUGACGGAGCAAAGCCGAGUGAGAGAUGAAGGUCUUCGGAUCGUAAAACUCUGUUAGUAGGGAAGAACAAAUGUGUAAGAAACCGUGAACAUAGUGACGGUACCUAAACAGAAAGCCACGGCUAACUACGUG